AGAGUUUGAUCCUGGCUCAGAUUGAACGCUGGCGGAAUGCUUUACACAUGCAAGUCGAACGGCAGCACGGGGCAACCUGGUGGCGAGUGGCGAACGGGUGAGUAAUACAUCGGAACGUGCCCAAUCGUGGGGAUAACGUAGCGAAAGUUACGCUAAUACCGCAUACGAUCUACGGAUGAAAGCGGGGGAUCGCAAGACCUCGCGCGAAUGGAGCGGCUGAUGUCAGAUUAGGUAGUUGGUGGGGUAAAGGCUCACCAAGCCAACGAUCUGUAGCUGGUCUGAGAGGACGACCAGCCACACUGGAACUGAGACACGGUCCAGACUCCUACGGGAGGCAGCAGUGGGGAAUUUUGGACAAUGGGCGCAAGCCUGAUCCAGCCAUUCCGCGUGCAGGAUGAAGGCCUUCGGGUUGUAAACUGCUUUUGUACGGAACGAAAAGGUCCUGGUUAAUACCUGGGGCUCAUGACGGUACCGUAAGAAUAAGCACCGGCUAACUACGUG
RNAcentral lists this ribosomal RNA (501 nucleotides) under uncultured bacterium. RNAcentral's name for it is "bacterial SSU rRNA". It matches the Rfam family "Bacterial small subunit ribosomal RNA", at positions 8 to 507 of the family's 1533-position model. The record is from RNAcentral.